This 191-nucleotide ribosomal RNA is filed under the name uncultured bacterium. RNAcentral describes it as "partial 16S ribosomal RNA". It matches the Rfam family "Bacterial small subunit ribosomal RNA", at positions 347 to 529 of the family's 1533-position model. The record is from RNAcentral.
GACGCGCGAGGGGAAUAUUGCACAAUGGGCGCAAGCCUGAUGCACCCAUGCCACGUGUAUGAAGAAGGCCUUCGGGUUGUAAAGUACUUUCAGCGGGGAGGAAGGCGGUGAACUUAAUAGCUUCACCGAUUGACGUUACCCGCAGAAGAAGCAACGGCUAACUCCGAGCCAGCAGCCGCGGUAAUACAAUA